AGGGCACCACCAGGAGUGGAGCCUGCGGCUUAAUUUGACUCAACACGGGAAAACUCACCCGGCCCGGACACUGGAAGGAUUGACAGAUUGAGAGCUCUUUCUUGAUUCAGUGGGUGGUGGUGCAUGGCCGUUCUUAGUUGGUGGAGUGAUUUGUCUGGUUAAUUCCGAUAACGAACGAGACUCUAGCCUACUAAAUAGAUCGUCGGCUUACAAACGCCGGCGAGACUUCUUAGAGGGACAGGCGGUGAUUCAACCGCACGAAACAGAGCAAUAACAGGUCUGUGAUGCCCUUAGAUGUCCGGGGCCGCACGCGCGCUACACUGAAGUGAUCAGCGUGCUUUUUCAACCUACUCUGUCAAGAGUGGGGAACCCAAUGAACCUUCUUCGUGAUUGGGAUAGGGGAUUGUAAUUGUUCCCCUUGAACGAGGAAUUCCCAGUAAGCGCGAGUCAUAAGCUCGCGUUGAUUACGUCCCUGCCCUUUGUACACACCGCCCGUCGCUACUACCGAUUGAAUGUGUU
This 519-nucleotide ribosomal RNA is filed under the name uncultured eukaryote. RNAcentral describes it as "SSU rRNA". It matches the Rfam family "Eukaryotic small subunit ribosomal RNA", at positions 1161 to 1699 of the family's 1831-position model. The record is from RNAcentral.